This 253-nucleotide ribosomal RNA is filed under the name uncultured bacterium. RNAcentral describes it as "partial 16S ribosomal RNA". It matches the Rfam family "Bacterial small subunit ribosomal RNA", at positions 524 to 776 of the family's 1533-position model. The record is from RNAcentral.
UACAGAGGGUGCAAGCGUUGUUCGGAAUUAUUGGGCGUAAAGCGCGUGUAGGCGGCUUUGCAAGUCGGGUGUGAAAGCCCUCGGCUCAACCGAGGAAGUGCGCCCGAAACUGCAGAGCUUGAGUACCGGAGAGGAUGGCAGAAUUCCCCAAGUAGAGGUGAAAUUCGUAGAUAUGGGGAGGAACACCGGUGGCGAAGGCGGCCAUCUGGACGGAUACUGACGCUGAUGAGCGAAAGCCAGGGGAGCAAACGGG